Non-coding RNA from Caenorhabditis elegans, 162 nucleotides. Lineage: Eukaryota; Metazoa; Nematoda; Chromadorea; Rhabditida; Rhabditidae. The record is from Ensembl.
UCACAAGCGAGGGAAACUGUCAGAAAAGCAUCGUACGAUCAAAUGCGGUUGCUGGGAAAAAGUUGUAAGGAGAGGCAUGCGCAGAGAAUCAGAGUGUCGUAGUGGUGGCCGCAAACAUACACACAUACACAGGACACGAUAAACCGGAUGGAUCGAAAAAGA